This 509-nucleotide unclassified non-coding RNA is filed under the name Hevea brasiliensis (rubber tree). The record is from RNAcentral. Lineage: Eukaryota; Viridiplantae; Streptophyta; Magnoliopsida; Malpighiales; Euphorbiaceae.
CGAGCUCUUUACAAUGAUAUGUCAAGGUACAUCUGCUGUGCUGGAUACAUACCGUGCAGUGGCAAGUGCGGAGAAAGUCAUUGCCCUGAACUAUGUCUCUGCACUGAGGUCUUCUGUUGCUUUUCAAAUUCAGUUGCUUCAACUCGCUUCCUACUGCAAGACGAAUUCAACAUACAGACUACACAGUGUGACAAUUGCAUCAUUGGAUUCAUGAUGUGCCUGCAGCAAUUGGCAUGCAUAUGUUCCUUGGUUGCUUGUAUAACCGGAAGUGAUGAAAUUGGAGACCUUGCUGACAUGUUGACUUGUUUGGCUGACUUGGUUUUUUGCUCGGUUUGCCCAUGCAUUCAGACCCAGCACAAGAUCGAAAUGGAUAAAAGAGACGGCAAGUUUGGGCCACAGCCUGUAAUGGCAGUGCCUCCGAUGCAGCAAAUGUCACGCAUUGAUCAGCCAACUCCUCCACCGGUGGGCUAUCCACCACAACAAGGGCAUGCACCUUACGGGCAACCCCC